UACGAAGGGGGCUAGCGUUGCUCGGAAUCACUGGGCGUAAAGCGCACGUAGGCGGCUUCUUAAGUCAGGGGUGAAAUCCUGGAGCUCAACUCCAGAACUGCCUUCGAUACUGGCGAUCUUGGAGUCCGGGAGAGGUGAGUGGAACUCCGAGUGUAGAGGUGAAAUUCGUAGAUAUUCGGAAGAACACCAGUGGCGAAGGCGGCUCACUGGCCCGGUACUGACGCUGAGGUGCGAAAGCGUGGGGAGCAAACAGG
Molecule: ribosomal RNA, 254 nt
Filed under: uncultured bacterium
Lineage: Bacteria
Description: partial 16S ribosomal RNA
Rfam family: Bacterial small subunit ribosomal RNA
Source: RNAcentral